Molecule: long non-coding RNA, 361 nt
Organism: Salvia miltiorrhiza (redroot sage)
Lineage: Eukaryota; Viridiplantae; Streptophyta; Magnoliopsida; Lamiales; Lamiaceae
Exons: 2
Source: RefSeq, a predicted model, not a curated record
AUAAAGGCCCGAGCGAGACGAAGAAGUAAGUUGCCUGAUUUCUUUCCAGAAUAAGCGAAGGACUUCAGGCUAAGCUGGGAGUGAGAUUGGACUGGUGCUGAUGGGGGAGAGUUUCAAAUGAUGUAAAUUAAAUUACUAUUUUGCCUCUAUGAUAAUAGAGUCUUGAUGUUUGAAUUACUUAGUUUCUUUUGAGAUCAAGCAAUACACUCACGGUUAUGUGUCUUCAUACAUAUAAUCGGUUCGCCUUUUGCUGCGAUACUCUGCAAAUUAUGCUUCCUUAUGAAAAAUGAACUAUACGCGUUUUGUUUUUGUUCGUGAAAUUCCUAAUAAUUAAAAAGUUAUGACAAUGUUGACGAUUUUA